AUCAGCACUGAGUGAAGAUGGCACUUCUAAAGCCCACGAUUUGUGUAGGGACAUUUUGUACAGAUAUUGUCCAUUGGGCGUACUAAAUGUACGAUGUUUUGGAGGCAAUCUCCACUUCUAGGUUUGUGUAAAUUUAUCAUCAUCUUGAUAACAUUAGACAUUUUGGAGUCAAAAUGAAAUAUUUUCAUGUUCCGAACAAGGAAGUAGAAUAUGUUUCUGGCAUGAACAGAUAAAACAUGAAAGAUAUCAUGUACAUAAAUUAUUUGUACGAUGUAGUUUAGUAACCAAUAAGAAACCAUUACAUUUUGCAGCAUUACAGUGGAGCCAAUAUUUAAAAUAUAAGUGUCUUUUUGGUCAAACAAAUUCUACGAAUGUAUGAACUUUAUUAGUAUGUAGGAUAAUUAAAGGUGAGUGAAAUUAACUUAGUUAAAACUGGCGUAUAAUUUCUAUGCGUAUGUGACUUUGACUUUGAAUGUAUAUAUAGUAACAGAUUUGUACUGAUAUUUUCGUUAUUGGUGACCCUGUUUCUACAAGUUCUUACAAGCGAGGUAGAGACGCUGUAGUCAGGUAAUGCAUAUCCGGUUGCUUAAUUCUUAUUUUAUUUAGCGUUUUGCUUUUGUUUUGUUAAGAACUAGGUAUACGGGAGAUAAUGUUCAAAUAAAUUAUUACGUCUUUUACUCGUCCAAAAACACCAACAGUUUUGAUGUAAUGCAUGACUUAAGACAUCCAUUCAGUGACGCAUAAAUGAUAGGGAAUCAACAUGGUAAAAAAUAGUGGGCGUUGUGUUACAAAAGCGAAAGUGUUUAUUUAAAUGCUAUAGUAGUGAGUUAUGUAAGGCUCUCAUAGACCAGUGUGCCGUGCAGGAUGUGAAGGAACUAGAACAAGAGUGUAGCAGUGUUUAUAUACAAUGUUUGACAUAAUACCAACAUACCAUAUGUGGGAAGUACAUAAAUUUGAACAGAAUGUGAAUAUCACAGGCAUUUACCCUGUUUAUAAUGGAGCAGUAAAUAAAAUAUGCAUAACUUGUAUUGUGA
Molecule: non-coding RNA, 1034 nt
Organism: Zootermopsis nevadensis
Lineage: Eukaryota; Metazoa; Arthropoda; Insecta; Blattodea; Termopsidae
Source: RefSeq, a predicted model, not a curated record